AUGCUCUUCUGGGUACUGCUGUGUGACAAGUCACAGAGUCCAAGUUGGCCGUUCUCAAGGGGCUCUCUCCUGUGUUCUUGCUCUGGUAUGGGAGCUGGAUCUCCUGAAUAUGGCUUCACCGUGGUCUUGGUCUCUGAUAGUCUAGUGUCCUGGUUCUGAAGUUGUACAUUCCAAGACAUCAAUGGGGCUGUUAGAAAGUGACUUUUUAAAAGAUAUGGCCUCAGGAUAAUCUUGAACUCUGCAAUCUCCUGCUCCGAUCUCUCCAGUUCUGGGAUUAUGGGCAUUUCUUUUAGUCUUUGCUGAGCUCCAUGGGUAUGAAUGGCGAUGGGAUCCUUGGGGUUUUACCAGAGAUUCCUGUCUUCCCAAGACUCCAGAAGGCCACAAUUAGCAAAAAGACCAGGAAUGAAGAGGUGGGAAGAGGGCAGUGCCUUCUCACUGUAAACUAGCAAUUUUCAUCAUCCUCUGCCUUGGCCCAUGUGGCUGCUGCUACCUGGAACAUCCCUCCUCCUGUCUCUGCAUGGCAGACUCUCUGGAACAUCCCUCCUUCCUGUCUCUGCAUGGCAGACUCCCACACUCCCCCAGAUGCAUCUCAGCUGGUGGCUUCUUCAUGAAACCCACCUCAUCUGUCGGCUCGGGUGCCUCAUUCGUCCUCUCCACCCACAAUUUUGUGCCUGUCAUCCUGUCUCUGCAGAGCCUGUUCCUUCCUGGAUUGUGGCCAGGGACCCACUCCGAGCCUGGUGCUUGCAACAGAGCAAAAAUACAUGUACAGGCUAGAAAGCAGGACUACAUGGUCGGCUGUGCCAGUGUGUGGUUACAUUCUCAGAAGAUACACGGUUGUUAUGUUUGAUCUCUUAUACCUCUCCCUGACCCAAAGAAAACAAACUAAAAAUAUCAGGCUCAACUAUGUAAACUUUUUCAGAGCCAAGUAUGGGUAAACUGGCAGAUCCACAAACAACUAAGUGUGGCUCAUUUUCCCGUUAUCUAAAAGCAAACCCUUUGUCUCCUUUCAAAGUUAUCCCAUCCUCACCAACCAGGUUAGAAGCCUUGUUCUAGAAGUCCUGUUGGAGUUACCUAAACCCAGAGUUUCUCCUUUCUUAAAUCCCCCUGGUGCCUGGAUACUGCCAUGCACAUCUCUCUCCCUUUCACUGGGGUCUGUUUAGCCUUCUGGCUAAGAUAAUAUACUCCUGUCCUGUUCAUUUCCUCUGCCUCAGGAAAGAAGCGAAGUGUUGAGCAUCUUGGCAAAGGCACAAUGCAGCUAUUCUCAGCUGUGGGGGGCUGGCUAUGGGAGGCAUGGAGUGUAAUGUGCAGAAGAGCUGAACUUUGAAGCAGGCACUGGUGUGAACUUUGUUCUUUUGAAGAUGUGAACUAUGCAAAGGUGUUGCUUUUCUUUGGCCAGACUGUGCAGAAGGUCAGAGUCUGGGGCAAAUUUGUUCCACAUACAUAUCUUGAUUGAUCUGAGCAAGGUCUGUAGAAACAGUGGGGAAAAUUUGCCUGUGUUGACAACCAGGAGAGUGUAUGUAAAAGCCUACUCUUCUGGUGUCCCCUAAAUUUGCAAGUUUUAGCAAAAUUGAGUUUCAAUCUCCAAUGAGCAACACUUGCUUAUUUAUAAGCAAGAACUGACCGUUCCUAAGGACAGAAGGGAGUCCCCUCUCUUCCUUCACCUCUGGGAAAUUGCACCCUGCAUUCUUCCACUGGCACUAUGUGCCUGUUCCUGGAUAAAUUAUUCUAAAAGAUGUGUCUUGUGUUUGAUGUUAGACAACUUAGUGCAGUUGUCUAAAGAUCUCAUAUGAGGCUGCUGGAGGCAAGCCUGGCAGCUUGUAUGGGCCUUUCUGUCUUACAGAGUUUAAGAGAAAUGAGCAACAUGAUUAUUAAUCCCUCUGAAACACAGGGUUUUCAUCCUUUGAUUUAUUUAAUUUACCAUAGUAGCUCCUUUUCAUUGAGCACUUACUAUGUUGUAUGUGUAUUCAUUUGUCUAUCUCACAAUGCCAAUUCGAUGAUAUAGGAACUUUUAGUAUCCCCAUUUUAUCAGAGAAAGUUAGGUCAGAAAGCUAGGAAGAAGCCUAGCCAUUGCCUGUAGGUCAUUUAUUGUAGUCCUAGCUACAGAAAUAAGAAAUAGAGGGCGCCGUGCAUGUCUACUGUCAUGGUUUGAUUGUAAGGUGUCCCCCAUAGGCUUAUGUGUUUGAAGAUUGUUUUCCAGCUGGUGGUGUUGUUUGGAGAGGUUCAAAACCUUUAGGAGGUGGAGCUUUGUUGAAGAAAGUAAGUCACUGGGCAAGGGCUUUGAAGUUUUAUAGCCUAGGCUUACUUCCUUUUCUCUCUCCACUUUAAGACUGCUUAUGCACCGUGGUAAACAUUCACCUGCCGUCAUGCCUUCCACACCAUGAUGGACUGUAUUCCUUUGAAACCGUGGGCCAAAAUAAAUCUUUUCUCAUAAGAUGCUUUUGUCAGGGUAUUUUAUAACCACAACAGAAGUGAAAUGAAGACAUCUACUGUAGGUGCAUGCUUACAUAGAUUCAUGCAACAUUAUGUGACCGUUAAAUGAUGUUGAAGUCAGGAGAGGGAUCUUAACAUGCUCAGAUCCUUGAGAAGUGGGAAACUGUACACUGUGGUCAACAAAUAAGCCAAGG
RNAcentral lists this long non-coding RNA (2624 nucleotides) under Mus musculus (house mouse). RNAcentral's name for it is "long non-coding RNA chr12:82756312-82758936". The record is from RNAcentral. Lineage: Eukaryota; Metazoa; Chordata; Mammalia; Rodentia; Muridae.